This 303-nucleotide ribosomal RNA is filed under the name uncultured bacterium. Its description in RNAcentral is "bacterial SSU rRNA". It matches the Rfam family "Bacterial small subunit ribosomal RNA", at positions 355 to 674 of the family's 1533-position model. The record is from RNAcentral.
UGGGGAAUAUUGCACAAUGGGGGAAACCCUGAUGCAGCAACGCCGCGUGGGUGAAGGAGCGUUUCGGCGCGUAAAGCCCUGUCAGCGGGGAAGAAGAAAGACGGUACCCGACCAAGAAGCCCCGGCUAACUACGUGCCAGCAGCCGCGGUAAUACGUAGGGGGCGAGCGUUAUCCGGAAUUACUGGGUGUAAAGGGAGCGUAGACGGCGAGGUAAGCCUGAAGUGGAAGCCCGCGGCCCAACCGCGGAACUGCUUUGGGAACUGUUUUGCUGGAGUAUGGGAGGGGUAAGCGGAAUUCCUGGU